GCGGAGGAAAAGAAACCAACAGGGAUUGCCCCAGUAACGGCGAGUGAAGCGGCAUAGCUCAAAUUUGAAAUCUGGCUCUUUCAGGGUCCGAGUUGUAAUUUGCAGAGGGCGCUUUGGCGUUGGCAGCGGUCCAAGUUCCUUGGAACAGGACGUCACAGAGGGUGAGAAUCCCGUACGUGGUCGCUAUCCUUCGCCGUGUAAAGCCCCUUCGACGAGUCGAGUUGUUUGGGAAUGCAGCUCUAAAUGGGAGGUAAAUUUCUUCUAAAGCUAAAUACUGGCCAGAGACCGAUAGCGCACAAGUAGAGUGAUCGAAAGAUGAAAAGCACUUUGGAAAGAGAGUCAAAUAGCACGUGAAAUUGUUGAAAGGGAAGCGCUUGUAGCCAGACUUGCCUGUAGUUGCUUAUCUAGACUUUUGUCUAGUGCACUCUUCUAUGGGCAGGCCAGCAUCAGUUUGGGCGGUUGGAUAAAGGUCUCUGUCAUGUACCUCUUUUCGGGGAGGCCUUAUAGGGGAGACGACAUACAACCAGCCUGGACUGAGGUCCGCGCAUCUGCUAGGAUGCUGGCGUAAUGGCUAUAAGCGGCCCGUCUUGAAACACGGACCAAGGAGUCUAACAUCUAUGCGAGUGUUUGGGUGUCAAGCCCAUACGCGUAAUGAAAGUGAACGGAGGUAAGAACCUUCGGGUGCAUUAUCGACCGAUCCUGAUGUCUUCGGAAGGAUUUGAGUAAGAGCAUGGCUGUUGGGACCCGAAAGAUGGUGAACUAUGCUUGAAUAGGGUGAAGCCAGAGGAAACUCUGGUGGAGGCUCGCAGCGGUUCUGACGUGCAAAUCGAUCGUCAAAUUUGGGCAUAGGGGCGAAAGACUAAUCGAACUAUCUAGUAGCUGGUUCCUGCCGAAGUUCCCCUCAG
This 905-nucleotide ribosomal RNA is filed under the name Leptosphaeria septemcellulata. Its description in RNAcentral is "LSU rRNA". It matches the Rfam family "Eukaryotic large subunit ribosomal RNA", at positions 50 to 976 of the family's 3401-position model. Lineage: Eukaryota; Fungi; Ascomycota; Dothideomycetes; Pleosporales; Leptosphaeriaceae. The record is from RNAcentral.